Molecule: RNA transcript, 3384 nt
Organism: Anguilla rostrata (American eel)
Lineage: Eukaryota; Metazoa; Chordata; Actinopteri; Anguilliformes; Anguillidae
Exons: 4
Source: RefSeq, a predicted model, not a curated record
AAACAAUGAUGAAGUCCAAGAGAAUCUUCCUCUCUGUGCUCUAUCUCCUGCUAUACAGCAGUUUCUCAACUGCCAAUCUCAAUCCAGUUGUUGUAACUCAAGUGGAAAAAGGGAUAAACACCAAUGUCAAACUAUUAGAAGGUCUUGGUGCACUGGGAAAGUUGACUGUAGAAGAAGAUGCAAAGACAAUCCAAAAAGUCUUGGAAGUCUUUAAAAAGCUGGGAAAGAUUGCAUAUGCUCUAGGUUUUGUUGGGGCAUUGGUGGGUUUUAUCCUUGCUUUUAUCCCCCAAGAAAAUCCCACUUUAAAGUUCAUGAAGGUCCAGUUUUCAGAGGUCAACAGGAAACUGGACUCCAUCUCACUCCAAAUAAACUCUCUGGCAGAAGAAAUGGAAUGGACAGCGUAUGCCAGUGUCUAUUCCAAUGAUGAGAACAACAUCAAGAACUCCUGGACCAAACUGAGAGAGUUCAUAGACAGUGCCUCUGCAGCACAAACGGAAAAAGAGAAGACCAGAUUAUCUGAAAGAUUCAUCACUUUCUACGAGAAUACUGGAACAGAGAGCAGCGUUCAUAACUUUCAUGGGUACCUGACUGAGAGCAACCCAGCCAGUCUAAAUAAGAACCUUUUGAUACUUGUCAUUCAAAAGUCUAAAGGGGAUUUUAAGACCCUUGUGCAAUUCACUGCAUAUUUUACUUCCCUGAUGGUCACUGGAUUGCAACUGAAUCUUUAUUAUUAUGCAUUAAAGGGCUAUGAUGGUAAGAAUAAAGUGAGAGAGGCAGUCACACAGUUAACUAAUGUUCACACGAAGAUACAGGAUGUCUUGAUUGAUUGUGCUGACAACUUUGAGAUUUGGGCAGAGAAGGAUGUGCAGCAAAUUGGAACAAAGCCUUUGCCAGACAAUACGCAUCUUGCAUUCACUGUCAAGGAGCACUUGGACAAGAAGUUCAACUGGUAUGAGUGGACAGUCAUUGUGCAUGAUAAAAAAGAUGAAGAAGAGAGGACCUACGGAAACUCUAUUAAAGUUAUCGCUCAAGACAAAGUAGUAAUACACCUCCUACACAGGGAAAAAGGGUUCACUGUACAUCGCGGCAUGAAAGCUCAAAUGGAACGGGAGUGGAAUAGCAAAGGAAGGCUCUGUCAGGACAAAAUAUCCCAGUGGCCCAUUAUUUUUCAAAGGACAACAAUGAAAUAUAUAGAAUACAUUCAUGAACGAUCCGAUUAUGCUCAAACAAUUGAUAAUGAGCUUGUGAAACUAAAAUGUAGCCCUAUUGAAACUUUAGUUUAUGAAACAUAUACAGUCUAUUUAAAGAGUCAGAAACUUGUUGAAAAUCAUCCUUGCUCUGAUGUGAACUGUAACAAAGGUGAGUGUAGACCAAUCAAAGACACAUCAAGCAGAAUCUGUAAGUGUGAGAAAAUGUUCUACGGUCCAAACUGUCAGGGAAGUAUUCAGGAUGACAUUGACUAUGCAACCAUGGAGAGUGAACUCAUUGGUAUCUCUUACCAACCUGUACCAGACUUGACUACUAUUUAUUUUCAUGUUAAGGAAAUGAAAGAAUAUGUAGGAGCUCUGUUUAACACCCUACAGCAAGACAUCCAGUGGGCACAAAUAUUCAUUAAGUACAUUGAUGUGAUUGAUAAAUUCAGAUAUUUGGCAAAAGUGCACAAUUUCCUUAAAAAUGAAACAAUGUCUCAGGAUCAAUUUGUCUCUGAGGUUGAAUCCCUUUUUACCAAAGGAAACACAUUCCUUUACAUGAUGCACAAGUGUGAUCUAAUGAUGCAAGGGACAGGCUUUGGAGAUAAAUCCAAUAUCCUGGACCUUUUUCGACAAUCUCUGCUCACAGAACCACUAAAUCAAGAUGAUAAGAGUCAAUCAAAUCCUAGGACAGCAUGCUCUAAAUCCUACAGUGAGAGAGUUGAUUAUUUUGUUCGCAUUAUGUUUGCUAUGGAGCAGGAAGCCGUCUUAGGAUGGCAGAGGUAUUUGCUGAUCAAGCAUGAGUCACAAAAGGUGGUGACUCCAGAAGCACUGCAGUACGGCCCUACAGCUGUAAAGAAAAUGAUACGAGCACGUGCACUUAUGAGGUCUGAUGAAUACCUCAAAAGUGUGUUUAAACAUUAUGUAUCUGAGCAGUGGAGCCUGUUCAACAGGAACGGCUGUGGCUUGCUCAAGGCAGAGCUCCUGUCCAACACUUACUGUGAGAAGCCCCAUCACAGCACAGACCAGCAGGAGGUCCCACUGACAUGCCAAAAGGAUUACCAGCCCUUUCCAAAGACAGUGCAGUGUUCUAAAAAACAAUGGAGUGCCCUGCCUGUGUGCUACACUCACCCUAAGAGGGGAAGCACCACCUGCAAGUCUGAGAAUGGAACUACGGUCUGUACAGCCUCCUGUUCUAGUGGUUGGACCACUGAUGACAGACAGACCAGUGACACCUACCGAUGCACCAAGCAGCCCUGUCCAUCAUUCACUCCCAGAGCUUGUAACAGAUGCAACAUGGACAGUGCGUGUGGAGGCAGCGAAGUGUGCCGCAAUGCUAUAUGUGUGGAUGGAUGCAGUGUCUUUCCCUGUGGGCUAAAUGCACGGUGUUCCACCACAAACCAUAUCCAGCGCUGCACCUGCGUGAGUCCUUCUGUGGAAUGGACAUGAUGCACAGUCACAUGGAUGCCGUUACCAAAACCUGAGAUGGGUACCUCGUACAUCCUUGGAUGGCAUACCACAAAAUACCGUGACGUCUAAGACGGGACGCCAUGUUUGUCGAGCUAAAGGCCCAGAUGGCGGAUGGCAUGGAGGAUGGAUCUGGAUUCAUAAUGUCAACACCUGCAAUUAUGAAUAUGGUUGGUCUGAAAAGAGGGCUACCAGUUUUGAGGUGCUGGUGGACCCCUGUGGUGGCAGUGGAGUUCAGUGGUUGAGUGGCGGGAUGAACUCCAACCCCGUUGAGAUUGGCCAGGCUGUUGGAUGGCCCUGGAUCACUUUCCUGGUGUGCAGCCGGAAGAGCAAUGGCAUUCCAGGGAAACUUUUUAACACUCGAAGUGGACUGCUGUGUCACUAUGGGUUUGAAAACCGGGGUAACCGUGAUGGCAAUUUCUACACUCUUGUGAAAAAACGAUGUAUUUAGACUCAUCGAAUCCUGAUGGGGAAAAUGCAAGCAUGUUUUAUCUUUCAACAAUCACUCACUUCUAUACUUUUAAAAAAAUGUUAUUGAGUCUGAUCAACAUAAAACAUAGAAUAGACAUUUAUCUCUUGUCAAUUAAGAAAGCCUUUGCUUUAAAUGGAACCAUCUCUCUCUCAUAUACACAUCUGUCACAUGUAAAUCUAUCAAAUAUGAUGUAUAUGAAGGAUCAGUGACGUGUGGCAAAUUCACUGCUUGCUUUUUUUUUGGCAUCUUUCUGCA